RNAcentral lists this ribosomal RNA (486 nucleotides) under uncultured bacterium. Its description in RNAcentral is "partial 16S ribosomal RNA". It matches the Rfam family "Bacterial small subunit ribosomal RNA", at positions 30 to 507 of the family's 1533-position model. The record is from RNAcentral.
AUUGAACGCUGGCGGCAUGCCUUACACAUGCAAGUCGAACGGCAGCACGGGUGCUUGCACCUGGUGGCGAGUGGCGAACGGGUGAGUAAUACAUCGGAACAUGUCCUGUAGUGGGGGAUAGCCCGGCGAAAGCCGGAUUAAUACCGCAUACGAUCUACGGAUGACAGCGGGGGACCUUCGGGCCUCGCGCUAUAGGGUUGGCCGAUGGCUGAUUAGCUAGUUGGUGGGGUAAAGGCCUACCAAGGCGACGAUCAGUAGCUGGUCUGAGAGGACGACCAGCCACCCUGGGACUGAGACACGGCCCAGACUCCUACGGGAGGCAGCAGUGGGGAAUUUUGGACAAUGGGCGAAAGCCUGAUCCAGCAAUGCCGCGUGUGUGAAGAAGGCCUUCGGGUUGUAAAGCACUUUUGUCCGGAAAGAAAUCCUUGGCCCUAAUACGGUCGGGGGAUGACGGUACCGGAAGAAUAAGCACCGGCUAACUACGUG